RNAcentral lists this ribosomal RNA (492 nucleotides) under uncultured bacterium. Its description in RNAcentral is "partial 16S ribosomal RNA". It matches the Rfam family "Bacterial small subunit ribosomal RNA", at positions 29 to 507 of the family's 1533-position model. The record is from RNAcentral.
AGUGAACGCUGGCGGUAUGCCUAACACAUGCAAGUCGAACGGCAGCACAGUAAGAUCUUGCUCUUACGGGUGGCGAGUGGCGGACGGGUGAUGAAUACAGCGGGAUCUACUUUUUCGUGGGGGAUAACGUAGGGAAACUUACGCUAAUACCGCAUACGACCUACGGGUGAAAGCAGGGGAUCUUCGGACCUUGCGCGAUUGAAUGAGCCGAUGUCGGAUUAGCGAGUUGGCGGGGUAAAGGCCCACAAAGGCGACGAUCCGUAGCUGGCCUGAGAGGAUGAUCAGCCACACUGGAACAGAGACACGGUCCAGACUCCUACGGGAGGCAGCAGUGGGGACUAUUGGACAAUGGACGCAAGCCUGAUCCAGCCAUACCGCGUGGGUGAAGAAGGACUUAGGGUUGUAAAGUCCUGUUGUUGGGAAAGAAAAGCAGCAGGUUAAUACCCCGCUGUUCUGACGGUACCCAAAGAAUAAGCACCGGCUAACUUCGUG